Molecule: transfer RNA, 76 nt
Filed under: Deefgea chitinilytica
Lineage: Bacteria; Pseudomonadati; Pseudomonadota; Betaproteobacteria; Neisseriales; Chitinibacteraceae
Also listed under: 6 other names
Description: tRNA-Glu
Rfam family: tRNA
About the family: Transfer RNA (tRNA) molecules are approximately 80 nucleotides in length.
Source: RNAcentral
GUCUCCAUCGUCUAGAGGCCUAGGACACUGCCCUUUCACGGCGGCGACCGGGGUUCGAAUCCCCGUGGAGACGCCA